RNAcentral lists this ribosomal RNA (520 nucleotides) under uncultured bacterium. RNAcentral describes it as "bacterial SSU rRNA". It matches the Rfam family "Bacterial small subunit ribosomal RNA", at positions 120 to 674 of the family's 1533-position model. The record is from RNAcentral.
GGGAAUCUGCCCUUGGGUUCGGAAUAACAGUUAGAAAUGACUGCUAAUACCGGAUGAUGACGUAAGUCCAAAGAUUUAUCGCCCAGGGAUGAGCCCGCGUAGGAUUAGCUAGUUGGUGAGGUAAAAGCUCACCAAGGCGACGAUCCUUAGCUGGUCUGAGAGGAUGAUCAGCCACACUGGGACUGAGACACGGCCCAGACUCCUACGGGAGGCAGCAGUGGGGAAUAUUGGACAAUGGGCGAAAGCCUGAUCCAGCAAUGCCGCGUGAGUGAUGAAGGCCUUAGGGUUGUAAAGCUCUUUUACCCGGGAUGAUAAUGACAGUACCGGGAGAAUAAGCUCCGGCUAACUUCGUGCCAGCAGCCGCGGUAAUACGAGGGGAGCUAGCGUUAUUCGGAAUUACUGGGCGUAAAGCGCACGUAGGCGGCUUUGUAAGUAAGGGGUGAAAGCCCAGAGCUCAACUCUGGAAUUGCCUUUUAGACUGCAUCGCUUGAAUCCAGGAGAGGUGAGUGGAAUUCCGAGU